UUUUCCUCAGGAUAGUUGGAGCUCGGAAACGAGUUCUAUUGGGUAAAGCCAAUGAUUAAAGGCAUCGGGGAUGCAAUGUCCUCGACCUAUUCUCAUACUUUCAAUAGGCAGGAUGGGGUGGCUGCUUGUAACGCCCGAAUCCGGCCUCUCGACAAGACUGAACCCGUUUGCUACUUAAUCAAUUUCUUUGCUUGUUUGAUUCAUUUUAAGUCUUUCAUUUACUAAGUCAUGUUCAAAUCUGAGGUUCUA
This is a non-coding RNA of Brassica napus (rape), 249 nucleotides long. NCBI's taxonomy places the organism in Eukaryota, Viridiplantae, Streptophyta, Magnoliopsida, Brassicales, Brassicaceae. The record is from Rfam.